This 244-nucleotide ribosomal RNA is filed under the name uncultured Methanosarcina sp. RNAcentral's name for it is "partial 16S ribosomal RNA". It matches the Rfam family "Archaeal small subunit ribosomal RNA", at positions 747 to 990 of the family's 1478-position model. Lineage: Archaea; Methanobacteriati; Methanobacteriota; Methanomicrobia; Methanosarcinales; Methanosarcinaceae. The record is from RNAcentral.
CCAGCCGUAAACGAUGCUCGCUAGGUGUCCGGCAUGGCGCGACCGUGUCUGGUGCCGCAGGGAAGCCGUGAAGCGAGCCACCUGGGAAGUACGGCCGCAAGGCUGAAACUUAAAGGAAUUGGCGGGGGAGCACAACAACGGGUGGAGCCUGCGGUUUAAUUGGACUCAACGCCGGACAACUCACCGGGGACGACAGCAAUAUGUAGGCCAGGCUGAAGACCUUGCCUGAAUCGAUGAGAGGAGG